AGGCAUUCAGGCAAUAAAACAAUGAAGCUUAAAGGAAAGGGGACAAAAGGGCAAAAGUAAGCAGGUAAAUGUUGUAUGAAAGGCGCAAACAUAUAAGGAAAACUAGGACAUAUUCUACUCCACGCCCUCAUAUCUCAUAUCUCAUAUCUCAUAUCUCACAUCUGAGGGGGAAAACAUGAAGAAGCUACAAAUACAGAGGGUGCAUGAGUAAGAAGGUAAAUACUAUACAGAAAGCACAAAAACAAAAACGGAUAAUAUAGCCUAAAGCCCUAGACCCUAAUGACACUUGUAUCUGUGGCCAUGUCCUUGGUAAAUGUCGUCUCCUUCAUGUCUAACCUCACGCUAUCAGUAAGUCCAGUUUACUUUUUGUCCUCUUCAUAUACUUUAUUUGUGUUAAGACCUACUUAAAUCUCUGUCAUAACAUGAUUUAUCAAUUUUGAAGGGUGAUACCACAACUUUCAAUUCCUGGUUCAAGAAUGGGACAUGGCAAAGAGAAUAAGAGCUUGAUAAGUUUUAUCUUGUAUCUCCAUGGUAAACAGAACUGGAACUUAGUAUCAUAGAGCUCAUUAUCAACUCCUGUCAACCUACUGGAUUAGAGGCUAGUUGAUUUCAGUAUAGCAGCACUAUGACAAAGCAUGUCAGUAAAUCAGUUAUUAUCAUGCCUCGUGUGUCUAGAUUUCAUAUCAGCAGUUGGGCAACUAUUUUUAUACAAUUCUGAAAUAGAUUGUUAUUUAGCAUUUUAAGGCUAGUAGAUAUGGCUCUCAGGUCAUGAAAACAUGACCUAUGGUGUUGUCUGUAUACUGCUGCACAUGAUGAGUAGUUUCUACUUUCUAUUCAUGGAAACUAAUAAAUGUCAUACACGUAAUACAAAGUGUAGGAAGUGGUUGCACAAACCUGCAUACUAAGAUCGAGGAGAUGUAGGUUCGUAACAACAGCUCUAACUAUACUCUCUCUAGCAGAAGAAAAUUCUUGUCUGUCCCAAAGUGUGAGAACUGCAAUAAUCGAAGCUGAAGCCCACUCAGGCUUGCCACCAGGAACAUCAGCCAGAUACAACAUGUUAA
Molecule: non-coding RNA, 1061 nt
Organism: Lactuca sativa (garden lettuce)
Lineage: Eukaryota; Viridiplantae; Streptophyta; Magnoliopsida; Asterales; Asteraceae
Source: RefSeq, a predicted model, not a curated record